This 426-nucleotide ribosomal RNA is filed under the name Salmonella enterica subsp. enterica serovar Typhimurium. RNAcentral describes it as "partial 23S ribosomal RNA". It matches the Rfam family "Bacterial large subunit ribosomal RNA", at positions 161 to 589 of the family's 2925-position model. Lineage: Bacteria; Pseudomonadati; Pseudomonadota; Gammaproteobacteria; Enterobacterales; Enterobacteriaceae. The record is from RNAcentral.
AAUCCAUAGGUUAAUGAGGCGAACCGGGGGAACUGAAACAUCUAAGUACCCCGAGGAAAAGAAAUCAACCGAGAUUCCCCCAGUAGCGGCGAGCGAACGGGGAGGAGCCCAGAGCCUGAAUCAGCAUGUGUGUUAGUGGAAGCGUCUGGAAAGGCGCGCGAUACAGGGUGACAGCCCCGUACACAAAAGCGCAUGUGCUGUGAGCUCGAUGAGUAGGGCGGGACACGUGGUAUCCUGUCUGAAUAUGGGGGGACCAUCCUCCAAGGCUAAAUACUCCUGACUGACCGAUAGUGAACCAGUACCGUGAGGGAAAGGCGAAAAGAACCCCGGCGAGGGGAGUGAAAAAGAACCUGAAACCGUGUACGUACAAGCAGUGGGAGCCCCACCACUAAGCCAGUGGUGAACUCCACAUCCGCAUCCUUUGCU